Molecule: long non-coding RNA, 553 nt
Organism: Homo sapiens (human)
Lineage: Eukaryota; Metazoa; Chordata; Mammalia; Primates; Hominidae
Source: Ensembl
AAUGGGUUCAUAUUCGAUUGGCUGCACUUAGCUAUAAAUCCUGAGGAGGAGAAGAAGAAAGACAUCAGAAAGUAAUUGGACUAGAAGAACCUUAGUUUGGAAGCAAAACACAGAAUCCAGUAGAGACGGGGUUUCACCGCGUUAGCCAGGAUGGUCUCGAUCUGACCUCGUAAUCCGCCCAACCCAGCCUCCCAAAGUGCUGGGAUUACAGGCUUGAGCCACUGCACGCAGCGAGAAAGCACCUUUUAAUCUCUACCACUGCCAAGUACGUGAGUAGACUGGAAAGACCAUGGGCUUCAGAAUCAAGUGGCCAUGGAUAAAAAUUGUGUCUGAGAGACUUUCAAGGAGUUACUUAGCCAUUUUGAGCUUUUUGCUCCGUGAUUAGUAUAGCAGUGAUAAUAAUAUCAACCUUACAAUAUUACGUUAUGGAAUUAAAUGUCUGUGGAAGUGUCUUCCUCACAGUAAUUGCUCAAUAAUGAUUCAUGUCCUCCCUUCCCUUCUUAAUUCAGAUUUAUUUACAUAUGCUCAAUAGAGCAAUAAAUAUUUGUGAUUC